AAAUUGAAGAGUUUGAUCAUGGCUCAGAUUGAACGCUGGCGGCAGGCCUAACACAUGCAAGUCGAACGGUAACAGGAAGCAGCUUGCUGCUUUGCUGACGAGUGGCGGACGGGUGAGUAAUGUCUGGGAAACUGCCUGAUGGAGGGGGAUAACUACUGGAAACGGUGGCUAAUACCGCAUAACGUCGCAAGACCAAAGAGGGGGACCUUCGGGCCUCUUGCCAUCAGAUGUGCCCAGAUGGGAUUAGCUUGUUGGUGAGGUAACGGCUCACCAAGGCGACGAUCCCUAGCUGGUCUGAGAGGAUGACCAGCCACACUGGAACUGAGACACGGUCCAGACUCCUACGGGAGGCAGCAGUGGGGAAUAUUGCACAAUGGGCGCAAGCCUGAUGCAGCCAUGCCGCGUGUAUGAAGAAGGCCUUCGGGUUGUAAAGUACUUUCAGCGGGGAGGAAGGUGUUGCGGUUAAUAACCGCAGCAAUUGACGUUACCCGCAGAAGAAG
RNAcentral lists this ribosomal RNA (500 nucleotides) under Salmonella enterica. RNAcentral describes it as "bacterial SSU rRNA". It matches the Rfam family "Bacterial small subunit ribosomal RNA", at positions 1 to 490 of the family's 1533-position model. Lineage: Bacteria; Pseudomonadati; Pseudomonadota; Gammaproteobacteria; Enterobacterales; Enterobacteriaceae. RNAcentral also lists the same sequence under 2 other names. The record is from RNAcentral.